RNAcentral lists this ribosomal RNA (253 nucleotides) under uncultured bacterium. RNAcentral's name for it is "partial 16S ribosomal RNA". It matches the Rfam family "Bacterial small subunit ribosomal RNA", at positions 524 to 776 of the family's 1533-position model. The record is from RNAcentral.
UACGUAGGGUGCGAGCGUUGUCCGGAAUUACUGGGCGUAAAGAGCUCGUAGGUGGUUUGUCGCGUUGUUCGUGAAAUCUCACGGCUUAACUGUGAGCGUGCGGGCGAUACGGGCAGACUAGAGUACUGCAGGGGAGACUGGAAUUCCUGGUGUAGCGGUGGAAUGCGCAGAUAUCAGGAGGAACACCGAUGGCGAAGGCAGAUCUCUGGGCCGUAACUGACGCUGAGGAGCGAAAGCAUGGGGAGCGAACAGG